Molecule: long non-coding RNA, 631 nt
Organism: Medicago truncatula (barrel medic)
Lineage: Eukaryota; Viridiplantae; Streptophyta; Magnoliopsida; Fabales; Fabaceae
Exons: 2
Source: RefSeq, a predicted model, not a curated record
AUUAUUUAUUUAUUGUUCAAUACCAAUGCAAACUCUACAGAGCCCCAUGCUUCCCUCUUCUUCUCCUUCUUCAUCUUCCUUUCCUCACCUUCUUCCCCUACCCCCGUAUCACAACCAUCACCCUCCGUAUCACCACCAUCAUCCAUGGCGGCAUCAAUUUUGGUCGUUUUGUCUCCGCUGCAACCGUCUCUGAUCGACGCCGUAUUCAAUGUCGCCCCCAGCAUAAUCGGCUCCGGAAUCAUUUAAAUUCCGGCGAUUCUCAAAGUUCUCGGCGUGCUUCCUUCUUUCGCCUUGAUUCUUAUCAUCGAUGUGCUCGCUGAAGUUUCUGUUGAUUUUCUCAUGCGUUUUACGCAUGCCGGUGUAACCACACGUACUUUGGUGUUAUGAAGGAAGCUUUUGGGUCUGUUGGAGCUUUGUUUAUCGCGCUACUACAACACAACAUACACAACCAGUUGAUUAAGAAAGUGGUUCAAGCAAAUUAGGGGCAUUUGAUUGCUAGGGCUUUUUUAAAAAAUUGUAUGGGUGAAUGAGAUUCAUUCAAGUCUGUUUUGAGGUUGUUUCAAUAUUUGAAUGCAACACCAACCUGAUAUGUUAUCUCUUUGGUGUAAUGGUAGGAAUCAAUUUCUUUUUA